GGGAAGGUGGCUUAGCAGAAGAGUGCUUGCCUUGCAUGCAUGAGGCCCUGGGUUCAAUUCCCCAUACCA
RNAcentral lists this transfer RNA (69 nucleotides) under Dipodomys ordii (Ord's kangaroo rat). It matches the Rfam family "tRNA". Rfam says of the family: Transfer RNA (tRNA) molecules are approximately 80 nucleotides in length. Their secondary structure includes four short double-helical elements and three loops (D, anti-codon, and T loops). The record is from Rfam by way of RNAcentral. Lineage: Eukaryota; Metazoa; Chordata; Mammalia; Rodentia; Heteromyidae.